This 253-nucleotide ribosomal RNA is filed under the name uncultured bacterium. RNAcentral describes it as "partial 16S ribosomal RNA". It matches the Rfam family "Bacterial small subunit ribosomal RNA", at positions 32 to 289 of the family's 1533-position model. The record is from RNAcentral.
UUAACGCUGGCGACGCGCCUAACACAUGCAAGUCGAGCGAGGGUCUGUACGACCUAGCGGCAGACGGGUGAGUAAUACGUAGACAAUCUGCCCUUGAAUGGAAGAUAACCCCGGCGAAAGUCGAGCUAAUACUCCAUAUAAUCCCGGAGAGGCAUCUCCCUGGGAUGAAAGCAGCAAUGCGUUCAAGGAGGAGUCUGCGACCUAUCAGCUAGUUGGCGGGGUAAUGGCCCACCAAGGCUUUGACGGGUAGCCG